GGGGGUAUAGCUCAGUGGCAGAGCACAUGCUUAGCAUGCAUGAGGUCCUGGGUUCAAUCUCCAGUACCUCCA
This 72-nucleotide transfer RNA is filed under the name Vicugna pacos (alpaca). RNAcentral describes it as "tRNA-Ala (AGC) (tRNA-Ala-AGC-464-1)". It matches the Rfam family "tRNA". From Rfam's summary of the family: Transfer RNA (tRNA) molecules are approximately 80 nucleotides in length. Their secondary structure includes four short double-helical elements and three loops (D, anti-codon, and T loops). Lineage: Eukaryota; Metazoa; Chordata; Mammalia; Artiodactyla; Camelidae. The record is from Rfam by way of RNAcentral.